UCCCCCUUAGCUCAGCGGUAGAGCGCGUCACUAGUAUUUACGUAGUUUCUCGUUGCAAAUGACGAGGUCAGUCGUUCAAGUCGGCUAGGGGGAA
RNAcentral lists this transfer RNA (94 nucleotides) under Termitomyces sp. T159_Od127. Its description in RNAcentral is "tRNA-Thr". It matches the Rfam family "tRNA". From Rfam's summary of the family: Transfer RNA (tRNA) molecules are approximately 80 nucleotides in length. Their secondary structure includes four short double-helical elements and three loops (D, anti-codon, and T loops). Further hydrogen bonds mediate the characteristic L-shaped molecular structure. tRNAs have two regions of fundamental functional importance: the anti-codon, which is responsible for specific mRNA codon recognition, and the 3' end, to which the tRNAs corresponding amino acid is attached (by aminoacyl-tRNA synthetases). tRNAs cope with the degeneracy of the genetic code in two manners: having more than one tRNA (with a specific anti-codon) for a particular amino acid; and 'wobble' base-pairing, i.e. permitting non-standard base-pairing at the 3rd anti-codon position. Lineage: Eukaryota; Fungi; Basidiomycota; Agaricomycetes; Agaricales; Lyophyllaceae. The record is from RNAcentral.